UACAGAGGUGUCAAACGUUGUCCGGAAUUACUGGGCGUAAAGGGCGCGUAGGCGGUUGGAUAAGUCAGAUGUGAAAUCACCGGGCUCAACCCGGUAAUUGCAUUUGAAACUGUCUAACUUGAGUUGGGUAGAGGAGGGCGGAAUUCCUGGUGUAGCGGUGAAAUGCGUAGAUAUCAGGAGGAACACCUGUGGCGAAGGCGGCUCUCUGGUCCCAUACUGACGCUGAGGCGCGAAAGCUAGGGUAGCAAACAGG
Molecule: ribosomal RNA, 253 nt
Filed under: uncultured bacterium
Lineage: Bacteria
Description: partial 16S ribosomal RNA
Rfam family: Bacterial small subunit ribosomal RNA
Source: RNAcentral